ACAAAUAUGUCCAUAGAAAUAUGGAAGGUUUUAAGCCAGAAAAUCCUUAAAUGAAGGUCUGUAGCAGUAUCUCUCCAGAUAUUUAAAAAUACAAUGAUCACCAAAAUAUGCUAUAAAUGUUUAAAAUGGACUCCUAUCGAAAGUUCAGAGGUUAAAGAUGAUGUUGUUUAUGGUACUCCUAGAAAUUGAUUCUUCUUUAUUUUUUCUUUUCGUUGAGUUUAAUUGCCACUAGAAUUAUUUUCAAGUUAAGAAGAUAAGAGGAUUGACUUUUUAAACUUCAAAAUGAACUUCCCUGCUGUGACUGACUAUAUUCCCCAGUAUGGAGAAUUGAUGAGGAACCUGUUGAACAGAAAAGUCUCUGACCAUAAUCAAGGUCACACAGUCAGAAGGCAUCCCAGCAGACACUCCACACUAGCCAAUGUGGAUUCAGAGACUGCACCCUUGAUUACUGUGUUGUUUGAUGAUACUAGUGGUGAUUUCCACGGGGGGCAGAGAUGAUUUUCCUGGCUCUGGGCCUCAUGGGUUUCACACUACCUUUG
This 539-nucleotide long non-coding RNA is filed under the name Homo sapiens (human). RNAcentral describes it as "non-protein coding lnc-CADM2-7:5". Lineage: Eukaryota; Metazoa; Chordata; Mammalia; Primates; Hominidae. The record is from RNAcentral.